UAGUGGCGAACGGGUGAGUAACACGUGGGCAAUCUGCCCUGCACUCUGGGACAAGCCCUGGAAACGGGGUCUAAUACCGGAUAACACUGUCCCCCUCCUGGGGGACGGUUGAAAGCUCCGGCGGUGCAGGAUGAGCCCGCGGCCUAUCAGCUUGUUGGUGGGGUAAUGGCCUACCAAGGCGACGACGGGUAGCCGGCCUGAGAGGGCGACCGGCCACACUGGGACUGAGACACGGCCCAGACUCCUACGGGAGGCAGCAGUGGGGAAUAUUGCACAAUGGGCGAAAGCCUGAUGCAGCGACGCCGCGUGAGGGAUGACGGCCUUCGGGUUGUAAACCUCUUUCAGCAGGGAAGAAGCGAAAGUGACGGUACCUGCAGAAGAAGCGCCGGCUAACUACGUGCCAGCAGCCGCGGUAAUACGUAGGGCGCAAGCGUUGUCCGGAAUUAUUGGGCGUAAAGAGCUCGUAGGCGGUCUGUCACGUCGGGUGUGAAA
This 492-nucleotide ribosomal RNA is filed under the name Streptomyces sp. 313C02. RNAcentral describes it as "bacterial SSU rRNA". It matches the Rfam family "Bacterial small subunit ribosomal RNA", at positions 93 to 599 of the family's 1533-position model. Lineage: Bacteria; Bacillati; Actinomycetota; Actinomycetes; Kitasatosporales; Streptomycetaceae. The record is from RNAcentral.